This 301-nucleotide ribosomal RNA is filed under the name uncultured bacterium. RNAcentral's name for it is "partial 16S ribosomal RNA". It matches the Rfam family "Bacterial small subunit ribosomal RNA", at positions 509 to 807 of the family's 1533-position model. The record is from RNAcentral.
CAGUAGCCGCGGUAAUACGAAGGGGGCUAGCGUUGCUCGGAAUCACUGGGCGUAAAGGGUGCGUAGGCGGGUCUUUAAGUCAGGGGUGAAACCCUGGAGCUCAACUCCAGAACUGCCUUUGAUACUGAAGAUCUUGAGUUCGGGAGAGGUGAGUGGAACUGCGAGUGUAGAGGUGAAAUUCGUAGAUAUUCGCAAGAACACCAGUGGCGAAGGCGGCUCACUGGCCCGAUACUGACGCUGAGGCACGAAAGCGUGGGGAGCAAUCAGGAUUAGAUACCCCCGUAGUCCCUGUCUCUUAUAC